AAGACUAUAGACCUGCGGAGUACCUGCGGAAGGAUCAUUACCGAGUUUUCAACUCCCUAACCCUUCUGUGAACCUACCUAUCGUUGCUUCGGCGGACUCGCCCCAGCCCGGACGCGGACUGGACCAGCGGCCCGCCGGGGACCUCAAACUCUUGUAUUCCAGCAUCUUCUGAAUACGCCGCAAGGCAAAACAAAUGAAUCAAAACUUUCAACAAUGGAUCUCUAGAUCGGAAGAGCACAC
RNAcentral lists this unclassified non-coding RNA (240 nucleotides) under soil metagenome. Its description in RNAcentral is "partial contains 5.8S ribosomal RNA, internal transcribed spacer 2, and large subunit ribosomal RNA". The record is from RNAcentral.